This 373-nucleotide ribosomal RNA is filed under the name uncultured organism. RNAcentral's name for it is "partial 16S ribosomal RNA". It matches the Rfam family "Bacterial small subunit ribosomal RNA", at positions 527 to 896 of the family's 1533-position model. The record is from RNAcentral.
GUAGGUGGCAAGCGUUGUCCGGAAUUAUUGGGCGUAAAGCGCGCGCAGGCGGUCCUUUAAGUCUGAUGUGAAAGCCCACGGCUCAACCGUGGAGGGUCAUUGGAAACUGGGGGACUUGAGUACAGAAGAGGAAAGCGGAAUUCCACGUGUAGCGGUGAAAUGCGUAGAGAUGUGGAGGAACACCAGUGGCGAAGGCGGCUUUCUGGUCUGUAACUGACGCUGAGGCGCGAAAGCGUGGGGAGCAAACAGGGAUUAGAUACCCUGGUAGUCCACGCCGUAAACGAUGAGUGCUAAGUGCUAGGGGGUUUCCGCCCCCCUUAGUGCUGCAGCUAACGCAUUAAGCACUCCGCCUGGGAGUACGGCCGCAAGGCUG